UUUUUUUGCACGGUGCAAAAUCCACUGGUUAUUUAUUUCAGUUUGACGGAGUAUUUUUUUUCUGCUGUACAAUAGAACCAUCUUUUACAUUUCAUUUCCAUGCCAACAUAAAAAAAAAGGAAACAAACGAACAAAACUAUUCAGGAAAAAAGGGAAAUAAUGUAGAGCUAUCCCAGUUUACUUUUUUUUUUUUGAAAUGGCUAUCGCAGUUUACUACUGUAUAGUGCAUGUUUCUCUGGACCGUCUGAUGAGACCCUCCCAAGAGUUUCUCAGAAUCACAAAGCUACGCGGCUAUUGUCUGAC
RNAcentral lists this long non-coding RNA (303 nucleotides) under Triticum aestivum (bread wheat). RNAcentral's name for it is "long non-coding RNA (TAES_LNC005187)". The record is from RNAcentral. Lineage: Eukaryota; Viridiplantae; Streptophyta; Magnoliopsida; Poales; Poaceae.